This 594-nucleotide long non-coding RNA is filed under the name Carassius auratus (goldfish). Its description in RNAcentral is "lncRNA (ENSCARG00000055937.1)". The record is from RNAcentral. Lineage: Eukaryota; Metazoa; Chordata; Actinopteri; Cypriniformes; Cyprinidae.
AUGUUAAAUUCUGUUUUUUUUGUUUUGUUUGUCUGUUUGUAUGUUUUUUCUUUAUCAUUAGGUCCCUCAAAUUUGCCAGCAAAAAUUAUCUUUAUUCUAACACUCCACCACAUACACACACACACACACACACACACACACACACACACACACACACACACACACACACAAAUAAAUAACAAAGGCACUUUUAAGAGCCACGUUCAUCUUGUUCACCUUUACCCAUCACCUGUACUCUCUUCAGCUCUCUUUCUCGCUCCCCUCUCCUCUCUUUGUCUCUCUUUGUCCCCCCUCCCUGUAUAUUUAUUUAUUUGUCCAUCUCUUUGUUGCGAGUCUUUCUGUCUGUUUGUUUUUCUGUCCAUCACUAUGUCCAUGAGUGAUUCAGAAAUCCAAGAAAAUCUAAUGGUCUUGGGGGACAUUUUAUAGGCGUAAUGUUUUUACACUGUACAAACUGUAUAUUCUACAUUAGCAAACUGUAUAUUCUGCCUCUAUAGCCAGGGGCACACUUAACAACUAGCUGAAACAUUCUGAGUUCAACACACAGAGACAGUUUUCUUUGACUAAAGCACAUUUAACAAGUAAUUUAAAUGCGAC